UGGGGAAUAUUGCACAAUGGGCGCAAGCCUGAUGCAGCCAUGCCGCGUGUAUGAAGAAGGCCUUCGGGUUGUAAAGUACUUUCAGCGGGGAGGAAGGGAGUAAAGUUAAUACCUUUGCUCAUUGACGUUACCCGCAGAAGAAGCACCGGCUAACUCCGUGCCAGCAGCCGCGGUAAUACGGAGGGUGCAAGCGUUAAUCGGAAUUACUGGGCGUAAAGCGCACGCAGGCGGUUUGUUAAGUCAGAUGUGAAAUCCCCGGGCUCAACCUGGGAACUGCAUUCGAAACUGGCAGGCUAGAGGCUUGUAGAGGGGGGUAGAAUUCCAGGUGUAGCGGUGAAAUGCGUAGAGAUCUGGAGGAAUACCGGGGGCGAAGGCGGCCCCCUGGACAAAGACUGACGCUCAGGUGCGAAAGCGUGGGGAGCAAACAGG
RNAcentral lists this ribosomal RNA (429 nucleotides) under Chloroflexota bacterium. Its description in RNAcentral is "Chloroflexi bacterium partial 16S ribosomal RNA". It matches the Rfam family "Bacterial small subunit ribosomal RNA", at positions 355 to 776 of the family's 1533-position model. Lineage: Bacteria; Bacillati; Chloroflexota. The record is from RNAcentral.